Molecule: long non-coding RNA, 205 nt
Filed under: Gossypium raimondii (Peruvian cotton)
Lineage: Eukaryota; Viridiplantae; Streptophyta; Magnoliopsida; Malvales; Malvaceae
Description: long non-coding RNA (GRAI_LNC001994)
Source: RNAcentral
UCUCGCUUUCCUUUUCUCCUUUUUCAUUUUCAUUUUCUUCUUUUUCACUUUUAUUUUUCUCUUCUCCUUUCUCUUUUUCCUCACUUGUUUUAACAACAGAAUUUUUUAGUUUGAUUUGGUCCUCCUGGACUUGUUCCGGAAUGAGCGGCACUAAGGUGACUUUCCUUCCUUGAUGCUUGAAAGCAUACCUAUUGGUACGACCAUC